CUACGGGUUGCUGCAGUGGGGAAUAUUGCACAAUGGGGGAAACCCUGAUGCAGCCAUGCCGCGUGUGUGAAGAAGGCCUUCGGGUUGUAAAGCACUUUCAGCGGGGAGGAAGGGAAUAUGGCUAAUAUCCAUGUUCAUUGACGUUACCCGCAGAAGAAGCACCGGCUAACUCCGCGCCAGCAGCCGCGGUAAUACGGAGGGUGCAAGCGUUAAUCGGAAUAACUGGGCGUAAAGCGCACGCAGGCGGUUUGAUUAGUCAGAUGUGAAAUCCCCGGGCUCAACCUGGGAACUGCAUUUGAAACUGUCAAACUAGAGUCUUGUAGAGGGGGGUAGAAUUCCAGGUGUAGCGGUGAAAUGCGUAGAGAUCUGGAGGAAUACCAGUGGCGAAGGCGGCCCCCUGGACAAAGACUGACGCUCAGGUGCGAAAGCGUGGGGAGCAAACAGGAUUAGAUACCCCUGUAGUC
Molecule: ribosomal RNA, 464 nt
Filed under: uncultured bacterium
Lineage: Bacteria
Description: partial 16S ribosomal RNA
Rfam family: Bacterial small subunit ribosomal RNA
Source: RNAcentral